RNAcentral lists this long non-coding RNA (529 nucleotides) under Pan troglodytes (chimpanzee). RNAcentral's name for it is "long non-coding RNA NONPTRT012562". The record is from RNAcentral. Lineage: Eukaryota; Metazoa; Chordata; Mammalia; Primates; Hominidae.
UUGACAGUAGACAGUCAGUAAAAAGGGCAUGAAUGACUAAAUGUUUUUCUGUUUCAAAACUGUAUCUUCUCAGUUUUGUGACCAUUAAAACUCAGGCAAUUUACUCUCUGAUAAAUUGAGAUUACUUUCUACAUCAAAGUUGCUGGGGAUGCAACAUCAAGCAAGGCAGACAAGACUCCUGGCUCCAUCUAACUUACAUGGUAGUGGAGGAGGAGUAUAAUAAACUGAUGUUUAAUAUAAUGUCAAAAGUGAUGAAUGCUAGGAGAAAAAUAAAGCACAAUGAGGGGAUUGCUACUUUGAUAGGAUGGUCAUGAUAGAUUUCUUUGUGCAGGUGACAUCUUAGCAGUACCCAUAGUGAUAUGGGGGAAAGAACCACGUGGAUUUUGAGUUAUGAUGGAAUAACUGGAAUUAGACUUGCCCUUCUGAAGUAAACAACUAGAAAGCUCUACAACAGUCAUAAGUCAACUGUUUUCAAGCAUUGGAUAAAACAACACUGUGGUCUUUGCGGGAAGAAAAACACAUGAGGUAG